Odocoileus virginianus texanus is the source of this 1349-nucleotide long non-coding RNA. RefSeq lists it as uncharacterized. Lineage: Eukaryota; Metazoa; Chordata; Mammalia; Artiodactyla; Cervidae. The record is from RefSeq and is a predicted model, not a curated record.
CCUUGACUGAUAACAACCAACCUUCAGUAAAAUAACACAGGGUAUGUUAUUAAUAUUAUCUAUCUCAUUACCUAUCUCUGGUUAAAUACUUCUCUUCACUCACAUUUUCUUAAUAAGUCCUAUUUACCAAUUGUUUAACCAUAUUUUGUGAUUCUCUGAACCAUCCACUAGCUUUAGCAUCGAAUGCUGACUCAUGAUUAGAAAGUAGCAAAGUGAAUGGUGGCUAGUCCAUCUCUUUGCUCGAGGUCCGUUGGACCAAGCCUAGUUUGCUCCAAAAGAAAGAAUGUCCUAGGCUCAGACCAGCUCCAUUUCAUGUUAUUCUUCUGUACCUACCCCAAACUACCUUAUACUUACUAUUCAGCAGCUCACUCACACCUGAAAACCCCUAAUUUAGUGCACGAAUUUCCCUGGUCUCACCCACAGUCCUAUGAAUCUCAUAAAACCCCUUGAAUUCACACAAGAGCAAAAGUUUUCUUGCAGUAAUGGCCCAGAAUUCUUUAAAAGGACAGUGGAGAAAAUUGUAGACUUGAGAGGUGGCACCGAACAUGCCUAAUUCGACUGAAAGUUUUCUUUUUUCCCUAUUGGCCAUUUUCAGUCAAUUAAACUCUACAAUUUGAGAGCAUUCCUUUGGAUGUUAAAACAUUGUCAUUAUCAGUUGUGACUUCACUGGCAUCAAUCAAGUUCUUAUAUUGGCUGUAGUGACCAGUCCUUAUGAACAUGCAAGUUGGGUUAUGUGACGGCCAGAGCGUGGGGUACUGCCUGUCGGGGUGCUAGCUUUGUCUUGCCAGAGCACAAAAUCCUGGGAGUGUGGGGUGCAUGGAAACAGAGGGAGGGGCACCAAAGGAAGAGGUAAGAAUAGAUAAUUCAAAUAAACCCCUCACAAAUUGGCUUGUGCUUUGAGAAUACGAGUUGUGCAGAUUCCAACCGAAAAGAAACAAAUGUGCUCCAUGAGGUCAGACUUUGUCUACCGAGAAAACUCAUGCAGUAGUCAUGCCUUGGAGAAUUUCCCGUCGAUAACAAGAUCAACAUUUGAUCAACAACUCCACAAUAUCUGCAAGAAACAUAUGUACCAGCUGAAUGCCGCUGAAGAAAAUCGUUAUAGGAUUAGCAGUUUUCUGACCCACUUACUAAAAAAAAGCCGAAUCACUCAACUGAGACCCCAGGGAAAUGCAGAUUUAUACCUUUGACGUAUUACUUGGCUUUUCUUCAAUUAACUUAAAUUCUGUAACCAGUUUUUGAGUCUUUGCCAUCUUCUUUUCUUUUAAUUGGGUGAUUUUAUAUGCCUUCUUGAAUAUAAGCCUUUGCAAAUUCUUGGUUUUUCUAAAUGCAAAUGUAUAAUGAAACCUGCA